AUGUCAACUAGCCGUUGGGAGCCUUGAGCUCUUAGUGGCGCAGCUAACGCAUUAAGUUGACCGCCUGGGGAGUACGGCCGCAAGGUUAAAACUCAAAUGAAUUGACGGGGGCCCGCACAAGCGGUGGAGCAUGUGGUUUAAUUCGAAGCAACGCGAAGAACCUUACCAGGCCUUGACAUCCAAUGAACUUUCUAGAGAUAGAUUGGUGCCUUCGGGAACAUUGAGACAGGUGCUGCAUGGCUGUCGUCAG
Molecule: ribosomal RNA, 250 nt
Filed under: uncultured bacterium
Lineage: Bacteria
Description: partial 16S ribosomal RNA
Rfam family: Bacterial small subunit ribosomal RNA
Source: RNAcentral